Molecule: non-coding RNA, 938 nt
Organism: Schizosaccharomyces pombe (fission yeast)
Lineage: Eukaryota; Fungi; Ascomycota; Schizosaccharomycetes; Schizosaccharomycetales; Schizosaccharomycetaceae
Source: the annotation of a GenBank genome assembly
GCUUAUGCAAGUAUGAUGUACAGCUAGACAAAUAAAGUUGUUUUCCAUACACAAUAUGGAAAUUCCAGUGUUCGAUGGUGAAGGAUAUGUGUUCACAGUAUAUUCGAAACAAGGUUGUGGGAUGUGGGAUAUGGAAAUUGGAAAGAAGAUGCCGUCCCCCUUUAACUGAGGAAGGAAUAUCAGAUAGCAGGCAAGAAGUAGUUAGCGAGAAAGAAAGUAGUCAGUUAGGGAGUACAGGUGGAAGGGACGGCAUGAGACAGACGGCAGAGAACGGGUAGGGUGCUUGUAUGUUUAACAAAAAUGAUGAUGAAAAGUUGGUGGAUGCACGACUAGAAGCUGGGAUACAUGCUUGAACGGUUUUUUGGUUUCCAUUUGUUUAUCUGUUUUGCAUUUAUUUCGAUAUGUAAUUAGUUGCUGGUUUGGAUUAUACAUGUAAAUAAAAAAGGUGUAAGGAUAAUCUUUCAAAAAGAGAAGUUUGUAUAAGAAAUGGUUAAGCCGUUUUUAUUUUUUUUAUUUUUUUUAAUGCACCUCUUGCACUGCGUAUGUUUUUUUGCAACAAUCGAUCCCGAUAACAUUGCCAAGGCCGCUAACCUACGAUCAUACUUUCCAAUAGGCAAGAGCGAGUCCAUAGUUGCUGGAACUAGGGUUCCGCAUCACGGAAUAACGGAGCUGGGCGAAAAAAAAAGGAACAGGUUGCAAAAAGGCACUAUACAUUUGAUGUGUAACAAAGUAAUAUUCGAAACAGUCUAUUUCACCAAUAACAGUUUAGCGGUCUAACGGUUUUUUUAAAGGAUGACUAGUUUUUUACAGCAUUCAGUAAAUUAGCGAUAUAACAUUACUGCGCCCGUCAUCCUUAAUUAAGAUAGGAAGGCCGUUGGAGAUUGCAAUAAAGUAAUGGGCCUCCAAGCAAUUGAGGAGUGUGAUAAAUAUGAGAAAUU